This 585-nucleotide ribosomal RNA is filed under the name uncultured bacterium. Its description in RNAcentral is "partial 16S ribosomal RNA". It matches the Rfam family "Bacterial small subunit ribosomal RNA", at positions 355 to 1375 of the family's 1533-position model. The record is from RNAcentral.
UGGGGAAUUUUGAACAAUGGGCGAAAGCCUGAUCCAGCAAUGCCGCGUGUGUGAAGAAGGCCUUCGGGUUGUAAAGCACUUUUGUCCGGAAAGAAAUCCUUGGCUCUAAUACAGUCGGGGGAUGACGGUACCGGAAGAAUAAGCACCGGCUAACUACGUGCCAGCAGCCGCGGUAAUACGUAGGGUGCAAGCGUUAAUCGGAAUUACUGGGCGUAAAGCGUGCGCAGGCGGUUUGCUAAGACCGAUGUGAAAUCCCCGGGCUCAACCUGGGAACUGCAUUGGUGACUGGCAGGCUAGAGUAUGGCAGAGGGGGGUAGAAUUCCACGUGUAGCAGUGAAAUGCGUAGAGAUGUGGAGGAAUACCGAUGGCGAAGGCAGCCCCCUGGGCCAAUACUGACGCUCAUGCACGAAAGCGUGGGGAGCAAACAGGAUUAGAUACCCUGGUAGUCCACGCCCUAAACGAUGUCAACUAGUUGUUGGGGAUUCAUUUCCUUAGUAACGUAGCUAACGCGUGAAGUUGACCGCCUGGGGAGUACGGUCGCAAGAUUAAAACUCAAAGGAAUUGACGGGGUCAUAGCUGUUUCCU